Molecule: ribosomal RNA, 375 nt
Filed under: Mysidae sp. USNM IZ 1449925
Lineage: Eukaryota; Metazoa; Arthropoda; Malacostraca; Mysida; Mysidae
Also listed under: 2 other names
Description: SSU rRNA
Rfam family: Eukaryotic small subunit ribosomal RNA
Source: RNAcentral
AUGCAUGUCUCAGUACAGACCGAUAAUUUAAGGUGAAACCGCGAAUGGCUCAUUAAAUCAGUUAUGGUUCAUUGGAUCUUACCCAUCUUACAUGGAUAACUGUGGUAAUUCUAGAGCUAAUACAUGCAACAAAGCUCCGACCGCAAGGGAAGAGCGCUUUUAUUAGAUCAAAACCAAUCGGGCCUCGGUCCGUUUCCUUUGUGAUGACUCUGAAUAACUUUGGGCUGAGCGCAAGGUCUUUGCACCGGCGCCGCAUCUUUCAAGUGUCUGCCUUAUCAGCUUUCGAUUGUAGGUUACGCGCCUACAAUGGCUAUAACGGGUAACGGGGAAUCAGGGUUCGAUUCCGGAGAGGGAGCCUGAGAAACGGCUACCACA